Molecule: ribosomal RNA, 487 nt
Filed under: uncultured bacterium
Lineage: Bacteria
Description: bacterial SSU rRNA
Rfam family: Bacterial small subunit ribosomal RNA
Source: RNAcentral
CGAACGCUGGCGGCAUGCCUAACACAUGCAAGUCGAACGAGAAAGCUCUUCGGAGUGAGUAGAGUGGCGCACGGGUGAGUAACACGUAGGUGACCUACCAUACAGUGGGGGAUAACCAGAAGAAAUUCUGGCUAAUACCGCAUACGAAGCACAAAUUUGAAAGUAGUGCUUGAAAGGAUGCUUCGGCAUUCGCUGAAUGAUGGGCCUGCGUAGCAUUAGUUUGAUGGUGGGGUAACGGCCUACCAUGACUACGAUGCUUAGCUGGUCUGAGAGGAUGAUCAGCCACACUGGAACUGAGACACGGUCCAGACUCCUACGGGAGGCAGCAGUGGGGAAUAUUGCGCAAUGGGGGAAACCCUGACGCAGCAAUGCCGCGUGAGUGAGGAAGGGUUUCGGCUCGUAAAGCUCUGUCAGAUGGGAAUAAUGGUCAAGGGUCUAAUAGGCCUUUGAUUUGAAGGUACCUUCAAAGGAAGCACCGGCUAACUUC